AUAUCAAUAAGCGGAGGAAAAGAAACCAACAAGGAUUGCCUCAGUAACGGCGAGUGAAGCGGCAACAGCUCAAAUUUGAAAUCUGGCUUCUUUGGAGUCCGAGUUGUAAUUUGCAGAGGAUGCUUCGGCGUUGGCGCCACCCAAAGUUCCUUGGAACAGGAUGUCAUAGAGGGUGAGAGCCCCGUAUCCGGGUGGAUGUCUUCACCAUGUGAAGCUCCUUCGACGAGUCGAGUUGUUUGGGAAUGCAGCCCAAAAUGUGAGGUAAAUUUCUUCCAAAGCUAAAUACCGGCUGGA
This 294-nucleotide ribosomal RNA is filed under the name uncultured eukaryote. RNAcentral's name for it is "partial large subunit ribosomal RNA". It matches the Rfam family "Eukaryotic large subunit ribosomal RNA", at positions 40 to 331 of the family's 3401-position model. The record is from RNAcentral.